UAGGAUGAGGGUCAGGGGUGGAGAAAGGACAAAAAGGCUUGGGGUUUGAGGUUAAUAUGAUGGCCGAUGAGGUCUCCAUAGGAAUUGGAUCAGUAUUUGUACCAGAGAGGGGAACGACAGGGCGGAGAGGUGAUUUUUGGCCAUCCACUAGCGAGAUGGGCACUGCCUUUGAGGGAGUGGACUGGGGCAAAGAGGCAACUUUAGAAUUACUUGCCUCAUGAUCCAUAGGCUGACUUGAGCUUGCAACUGGCUGGUACUUUUUGGUGAUUUUUUCAGAAUUUUUGUUGCCCUUUUUUGCAGUAGCAGGCGGUUCAGC
Molecule: long non-coding RNA, 316 nt
Filed under: Brassica rapa (field mustard)
Lineage: Eukaryota; Viridiplantae; Streptophyta; Magnoliopsida; Brassicales; Brassicaceae
Description: long non-coding RNA (BRAP_LNC002243)
Source: RNAcentral